CCCUUAGAUGUUCUGGGCCGCACGCGCGCUACAAUGAUGAAUUCAACGAGUUUAUAACCUUGGUUGAAAAGCCUGGGUAAUCUUUUGAACUUUCGUCGUGAUGGGGCUAGACCCUUGCAAUUAUUGGUCUCCAACGAGGAAUUCCUAGUAAACGCAAGUCAUCAGCUUGCAUUGAUUACGUCCCUGCCCUUUGUACACACCGCCCGUCGCACCUACCGAUUGAAUGGUCCGGUGAAAUCUUCGGAUUGAGACUUUGAUUUCUUCACGGAAAAUGCUGUUUUAAAAAGUUGAUUAAACCUUACCAUUUAGAGGAAGGUGAAGUCGUAACA
This 329-nucleotide ribosomal RNA is filed under the name uncultured eukaryote. Its description in RNAcentral is "partial 18S ribosomal RNA". It matches the Rfam family "Eukaryotic small subunit ribosomal RNA", at positions 1470 to 1796 of the family's 1831-position model. The record is from RNAcentral.